AACGCAUAUUGCGCUUUAGGCUUCGGCCAAGAGCAUGUCUGCCUCAGCAUCGGGUUAAUAUCACUGCCAUAAAUAUUUAUAUUUAUGCGGAGUGGAUCUGGCCGUCCCAGUGACUGGCGCAGUGGGCAACCGCUGUGCCUGAUUGAUCUGGGUCGGCUGAAAAACAGAGCGCUGGCCAAGGACCCGCUACGGGGCCGCAACUGGGUAGGUUUUAGGGAUCUCUGCAGACCUGUGUGCUGCAGGGAGCCCCUACUAUCAACGCUUAGUUGUUGGUCUUGGGACCCUUAGUGCCUGGCCCACAACCCAGGAAACCAACCUUUAUUUCCUCGAUCUGAGCUCAGGCAAGAACACCCGCUGAACUUAA
Molecule: unclassified non-coding RNA, 364 nt
Filed under: uncultured fungus
Lineage: Eukaryota; Fungi
Description: partial contains ITS1, 5.8S rRNA and ITS2
Source: RNAcentral